ACGGGAGGCAGCAGUGGGGAAUAUUGGGCAAUGGGCGAAAGCCUGACCCAGCAACGCCGCGUGAAGGAAGAAGGUCUUCGGAUUGUAAACUUCUUUUAUGAGGGACGAAGGAAGUGACGGUACCUCAUGAAUAAGCCACGGCUAACUACGUGCCAGCAGCCGCGGUAAUACGUAGGGGGCAAGCGUUAUCCGGAUUUACUGGGUGUAAAGGGAGUGUAGGUGGUUUGGCAAGCCAGAUGUGAAAGCCCGGGGCUCAACCCCGUGGACUGCAUUUGGAACUGUUAAACUUGAGUGCAGGAGAGGAAAGUGGAAUUCCUAGUGUAGCGGUGAAAUGCGUAGAUAUUAGGAGGAACACCAGUGGCGAAGGCGGCUUUCUGGACUGUAACUGACACUGAGGCUCGAAAGCGUGGGGAGCAAACAGGAUUAGAUACCCUGGUA
RNAcentral lists this ribosomal RNA (438 nucleotides) under uncultured Clostridium sp. Its description in RNAcentral is "partial 16S ribosomal RNA". It matches the Rfam family "Bacterial small subunit ribosomal RNA", at positions 341 to 792 of the family's 1533-position model. The record is from RNAcentral. Lineage: Bacteria; Bacillati; Bacillota; Clostridia; Eubacteriales; Clostridiaceae.